This 72-nucleotide transfer RNA is filed under the name Bos taurus (domestic cattle). It matches the Rfam family "tRNA". From Rfam's summary of the family: Transfer RNA (tRNA) molecules are approximately 80 nucleotides in length. Their secondary structure includes four short double-helical elements and three loops (D, anti-codon, and T loops). Further hydrogen bonds mediate the characteristic L-shaped molecular structure. tRNAs have two regions of fundamental functional importance: the anti-codon, which is responsible for specific mRNA codon recognition, and the 3' end, to which the tRNAs corresponding amino acid is attached (by aminoacyl-tRNA synthetases). tRNAs cope with the degeneracy of the genetic code in two manners: having more than one tRNA (with a specific anti-codon) for a particular amino acid; and 'wobble' base-pairing, i.e. permitting non-standard base-pairing at the 3rd anti-codon position. RNAcentral also lists the same sequence under 5 other names. The record is from Rfam by way of RNAcentral. Lineage: Eukaryota; Metazoa; Chordata; Mammalia; Artiodactyla; Bovidae.
UCCCUAGUGGCUCAGUUGGUAAAGAAUCUGCCUGCAAUGCAGGAGACCCAGGUUCAAUCCCUGAGUCAGGAA